UUCAUCUAAAGUAAUUUAAUUGUAUUUUUACCCAUGUUGCUGUACGUGGACUCCCCACUGUGAGCAUUUAGGUGUUCAGAUCAUGUGACUGCCUUCAAGCACCCCUCCCCCUUCGUCCAAGUUGGUACAAACCAGGAAGUACAAGAAACCGAGAAAGCUUUGGUCCUGUUUUGGCAGUCGAAACAAGCAAACUGAGUAACAAGUGACAAGACUGCGAAAUCCACAGCACAUUGAACGCAUCGGUCGUAGUGAUAUUCUAACAAGGAACCAAAGCUGGAGAACGAGGAUCUGCUCAACGGAUCCAAGAGGAGACGGUGGACCACUGCAGCCAAGUGCAUGAAAAAUGAGUCACUCCAAGGCGUUUUCCCUGCAGAGUAAACCGUGCAGAAAGUGCCAUUCAUCAAGCAGCGGGGGCCAGAAUGUCGUCCUUAUCUGAUGCGCCGAGUAUGCGGAGGAAACUGGGGACUGUCAGUGACGGCUUGUGCAAAUCAGCCAAUCUGCUGUCCGGGAUCAGCGAGGAAGCCAGUGCACCUUAACUAGGAAGUACAAAGGCAAGUUUGAAUGUCACCUUCCUUGUAGUACCACGUUCUGCCACAAUGUUGCUGGGCAGCACUGAGCUAUACUAAAGCAGAAGAAGUAAGCUCCAGCAAUACUGUCCUAGAUGUUCCCACACAGUAGAAUAAAUAAAUGUCUGUAAGUAUUGUUGCACGCUCUGUUUGUAUUUGUUGAUGCUCCAUGUGUUUAAGUAGCCACUGUUUGAAAGUUUAGAAUUACCAUAACGUUAAUGCAAAUGUACGUUAGCCCAUCUAUGUCCUUUCUCAUUAUAUGUUAGCAUUGGUUCAUAAUUACUGCAACAUCGAUGCUAAUUUAUUUUAGCCCAUAUAUGGCGCUUGGCAUUAUGUGUUAGCAUUGAGCUAGCAGACUUUCGUUAGGUGAAAUUACACGCUUUGGUUGAACAUUUUAGCGUUUAUAUGUACAAUUUUUGCAUUUUUGUUUGUUUUAUAUGUUGGUUUUACAGUAAACCUCAACUGGGAGUGACCAAAACAAAAAACAGCUUUGGAGCAAGCACGCUUUGCCUCUAAUUUGAAGAACUGUGCGAGUGAGUCUUCUUUUCAUCUCUUCAAAGUGAUGUUAUACGAUAGUUUCCCAUUUCUUGACAGCAAGCGAGCGAGAACAGGAACUAAUGAAUGUCCAAAAAGUUUGUUUUAAUAAGUUGAAUGGUCUCUCCAUAUCGUGGAUUUUCGCCUAUUGCGAGUGGAUCAGGUACCCCGCGGUAAACGGGGUUCACUGCAUUACAGAGCUAAAUCAAAAGUGUCCACUAAAUGUACGUCCAAAGUAAUGUAUAGUGGACCCGAGUCAUUAGGAGCUGCAAAGAAGGGAGCGCUGAUGGCGCUGGUGAUGGUUUAUCUUGACCCUCUCUGAGUGGUACCCUCGGCCCACACACACACACGCACGCACACAAACACUCCCAUGAGGUCAAAUGUGCACGGGUGCUUUCAUCCCGUCCAGCCUCAACCAGAGAUGAAUGGACGCUUGCAUACAGCGACACAUAAAAGGUGUCAUGGCGGAAGCAGCACUCGGUCCGCACAGGCCAAACGAACGAUCCGGGAGCCGCAAAGUCAAACCGGGACCACCGCUGGGAUGUAAUUAAUGAGAAGGGAAAAGAAGCAUCUCGCUACAAUUGUUUUUUUCAUUUUUCUGAAACAUAACGAAAAGUGUGUUCAUUUUAAAUCAUAAAAUGUGGUGUUUCUUUACAUGUUUUUUUUUUUUUUUAAAUUGCACAGUGGCCAUCAAUGUUUAUGGUCACAUGGCAAUGAAAAAUAUCUUAUAAUAAUUUUGACCUUAAUCAUUUUGUUUUCGCCACUUUUCAUCCAAAAGACAAAGAAAAAAAAUGUUUUUGUUCUUCAGAUAUAAAAGUAUAAAAGAAAACGAGUUGGAAUUUGGAUGUUUUUAUUUGUAAAGUGACCAUAAUCUAAGCGUUACAUACUUUUCAUUUCACAGAGGCCAUGAAUGUGUAAAAUCAUGCAUCUCCAUUUUGUGAUGGUAAAAAAAAAUCAAAAUCACAAAAAAUGUAAAAAUCAGUAUUGACAAGUAGUAUUUUUGCUGCUGUUGUUUGGGAAUCCAAAAGUUUAGCGUUACAUGUCUCUCAUUGCAUCGCGAACAAUAAACUGAGCCAUGACUACCCAAUGAAAAAACAUAUCUCUAAUAAAUGUUUUAUUGCCCACAAAAAAAAGCCCGAUAUUUCAAUAAAACGUAUUUAAUUGUGUUUAAAAUGUAUUUUGAUUGUAACAAGCUAAUGCUAUUGUAGUUUGAAGCUCCUUUUUAGGCCUUGGUGCGUCUCGAUGUCAUCGUCUUCUUCUUCUUCUUUAGUUACAAACUAAUGAUCCUCUACUCAUUUGGAGCGACAUUCAUAAUCAAAGUCAGGCAAGAUAAAUGAUGUCCAUGUUGAUAUAUUUGAUAUUUUUCAGUGUUGUGGAUGAUCAGAUGAGAUCUGUUGGCAUCGAUGUCCCCCGGAAGGGUCACGUGGGGGUCUCACAUGGGGGUCUCGGCGCCAUUUGUUGCCGCUCGUCACGGUUUUGUUGUCAACGUCCGCUCGACUGGGGCAGUAAUACAUUUGUUCUUCUACGCCGAACAUUUUUUUGGUGAGCAUAUAUAAAAAAAAUGAUAUAAUGGUAUGAGAAUAAAGUCAAUUUGAAGACAUGAAAAAAAUAGAAAUUUAAAGUUAUGGGUUUAUGAGGAAAGGUUACAAUAGUCAGUCAUUUUUCAAUGCAUAUUCUGAGAAUGAGGUUUUAUAAGG
Phyllopteryx taeniolatus (common seadragon) is the source of this 2797-nucleotide long non-coding RNA. RefSeq lists it as uncharacterized. The transcript has 6 exons. The record is from RefSeq and is a predicted model, not a curated record. NCBI's taxonomy places the organism in Eukaryota, Metazoa, Chordata, Actinopteri, Syngnathiformes, Syngnathidae.